UGCUGACGAGUGGCGCACGGGUGCGUAACGCGUAUACAAUCUACCUUUUACAGGGGGAUAGCCUUUAGAAAUGAAGAUUAAUACCCCAUAGUAUCCAGCUCUCGCAUGGGAAUUGGAUUAAAAUUUCGGUGGUAAGAGAUGAGUAUGCGUCCUAUUAGCUAGUUGGUAUGGUAACGGCAUACCAAGGCAACGAUAGGUAGGGGCCCUGAGAGGGGGAUCCCCCACACUGGUACUGAGACACGGACCAGACUCCUACGGGAGGCAGCAGUGAGGAAUAUUGGACAAUGGGCGGAAGCCUGAUCCAGCCAUGCCGCGUGCAGGAAGACUGCCCUAUGGGUUGUAAACUGCUUUUAUAUGGGAAGAAACCCACUUACGUGUAAGUGGCUGACGGUACCAUAAGAAUAAGCAUCGGCUAACUCCGUGCCAGCAGCCGCGGUAAUACGGAGGAUGCAAGCGUUAUCCGGAAUCAUUGGGUUUAAAGGGUCCGUAGGUGGACAGAUAAGUCAGAGGUGAAAGUCUGCAGCUCAACUGUAGAAUUGCCUUUGAUACUGUUUGUCUUGAGUCAUUAUGAAGUGGUUAGAAUGUGUAGUGUAGCGGUGAAAUGCAUAGAUAUUACACAGAAUACCGAUUGCGAAGGCAGAUCACUAAUAAUGUACUGACACUGAGGGACGAAAGCGUGGGGAGCGAACAGGAUUAGAUACCCUGGUAGUCCACGCCGUAAACGAUGGAUACUAGCUGUUUGGACUUUAAGUCUGAGUGGCUAAGCGAAAGUGAUAAGUAUCCCACCUGGGGAGUACGUUCGCAAG
RNAcentral lists this ribosomal RNA (806 nucleotides) under uncultured bacterium. Its description in RNAcentral is "bacterial SSU rRNA". It matches the Rfam family "Bacterial small subunit ribosomal RNA", at positions 86 to 892 of the family's 1533-position model. The record is from RNAcentral.